ACAUACCACUGGCAUGUUGGGAUUCUGAGUGCGCCGUCCGUGGCCACCUGACCACUGUUCGCUGAGUUUUGUGAGCC
RNAcentral lists this small RNA (77 nucleotides) under Xanthomonas populi. RNAcentral's name for it is "sX9 sRNA". It matches the Rfam family "Xanthomonas sRNA sX9". Lineage: Bacteria; Pseudomonadati; Pseudomonadota; Gammaproteobacteria; Lysobacterales; Lysobacteraceae. The record is from RNAcentral.